UAGAAGUCAGGUCGGAUUAAGCCAUAGUACGGAAAAAACUAUGCUACCUGUGAGCCCCGUCCAAGGACGUUAAAAGAAGUCAGGCCACUACAAGUGCCAUAACUUGAGCAAACUAUGCAGCCUGUAGCUCCACCUAGGAAGGUGUAAAAAAUCUGGGAGGCCACAAACCAUGGAAGCUGUACGCAUGGCGUAGUGGACUAGCGGUUAGAGGAGACCCCUCCCUUGCAAGUCGCAGCAACAAUGGGGGCCCAAGGUGAGAUGAAGCUGUAAUCUCACUGGAAGGACUAGAGGUUAGAGGAGACCCCCCCGAAAUAAAAAACAGCAUAUUGACGC
Molecule: long non-coding RNA, 333 nt
Filed under: dengue virus type 2
Lineage: Riboviria; Orthornavirae; Kitrinoviricota; Flasuviricetes; Amarillovirales; Flaviviridae
Description: Dengue virus type 2 partial sfRNA1
Rfam family: Flavivirus DB element (bases 243-314)
Source: RNAcentral